This 1242-nucleotide long non-coding RNA is filed under the name Meleagris gallopavo (turkey). RNAcentral's name for it is "lncRNA (ENSMGAG00000021157.1)". The record is from RNAcentral. Lineage: Eukaryota; Metazoa; Chordata; Aves; Galliformes; Phasianidae.
AUGCUGUCCCUUGAGGACAAAGCAGGAUUCAGCCUGGCCCAAAGGUGCAGCAGAAGGAAGCUGGAUUUCGUCUCUUGUUUUGAUCUGAAGACCCACAGAGAAACAGCAUGCCAAAAACAGAAGUUUCUGUGUCUUCAGGAAGGAAGAAAUACCAGCUUUUCUGAAAUGCAAGAAGGGAGAAGCCACAUGCCAGCCCCAGCAAGUGGUCAAUGCGAGUGUUCUCCAGCAGCAAGUUAACACUAUUUUUAUUAAAAGAAUUGAGUCCACGUGAGGCAACGGGGACCCUGCAGCAUGUUUUUCCUAAUGGUGACCAGCACAGUUACAUCUGAUAGCUCUGCCCCAGCCUGCUCCAACCUACAUUUCUGGGUGCCCUGCUUGGGCUCUCAGGUAGCCAUUACCUAUGUCAGACUACCUACACCGUCCACUGGAAGCUGAAUACUUGCUACCUUUUCUUCUCCACCAUCUGCAACGAAGUACUGACCGUGUCACAUGCAGAUAGGCUUUUGGUAGCCCUGGCCUAUGGGCUCUGCCUUUGAUCAAGGAAGCCAGUGAUGGACAAGACUGUGCCAGAAGAAAGCAUCUUGAAACUGCACAAAACCCAAAGAGAAGCGUAAUGGUGUGACUGAAAGGCCACAGCAAAGCUUAAUGCUUGUCUUGCUCUCACAGAGACAUAUUCUUGCUCCUAAUAAGCUCACGUUAGAAGCAAGUUCUGUGUCAGCUGAAGCUUAACCCUUUUACAUUUUUCCCUGACUGGGCACUUCUUAAAAAAGGAUAAUGAUUUAGUCUCAUUUUCUAUGUUAUUGCAGCACUGGAAAGUCUUGGAUCAGACUUUCGGAUGUUCAGUCAACUUCUGGGUUUGCUGCAAAGCAAUGGCUUUAGGCAGCACCUGGGUUUUGAAAAACAUGCAGACACUUUCUGUGAGUUAUUAAAACUGCAGUGCUGGGCUUAAACUCGCUGACCUACUUUAAGCUGCCUUUGAGUGGCUGAAUUUCAGACUUAUCUUCAUUUUAUCUGAAUGUUAAAUAUUGCUUGGUUUUCAGAAUUAUUGUGCACGGCUCCAUCUGUAGUAAAUCUCUUCUCGACGUAGGUGGUUUCCCGUCUUUAAUUUCCGUUACUAAUUGUAGUCAUUCCUAAUGCAGACAAAAAGCAGUGUUCCAGGCUACAAUGUCAUCCAUGCAUGCUGUCAUCCCUGAGAGGCUUUCAGACAUCUGUGGCUUUAUGCAGUUAAGUACUUCUACAUCU